Non-coding RNA from Poecilia reticulata (guppy), 529 nucleotides. The record is from RefSeq and is a predicted model, not a curated record. Lineage: Eukaryota; Metazoa; Chordata; Actinopteri; Cyprinodontiformes; Poeciliidae.
UUCCUGUAGUUGUUUUCUUCAUUUCUGCCAGUAGUAACGUCAUGUAGUUGAUUACAUGACUCCUGUGAUGUGAGUCAUGUGAUCUUUUCAUGCGGUUUCUUUUUGUUGCUCUGGAAGCCAUGGUUCGCCUACGCUGCGCUUGCCUAUACCAAGAUGGCGGUUCACUUCCGGAAGUGAUAAGAAAUAGUGUUUAAACGGAUUUAUAAUGGACUUAUACGAAAUCUUCAUGUGAUUAACAGUGUUCCAGUGACUGGAGGAGUAACGUACAUGUAGGCUACAUGUCUGUCUUAGCUAGCAGAUAUAAGCUACUACGCUAAUUUUGCUAGUUCGGCAAUAGGAGGCCUGGGGGAAGACUGUCUUUUUGUGAGUGGGCUUUACUACAGCAGGAGCUAAAUGGAAAGCUGAGUCUCUCACAGAAAAGCUCCUUCUUUAUUGUCGACGGAGGAAACUGAACACUUUUAUUCGUUUCUUUUUCUACAGGAACUGAACUGAAUCAUCCAUAAAAUAAAGUGCGCUUCGGCUAAAAAUG